This 112-nucleotide ribosomal RNA is filed under the name Panthera tigris altaica (Amur tiger). The record is from RNAcentral. Lineage: Eukaryota; Metazoa; Chordata; Mammalia; Carnivora; Felidae.
GACAUUUGGUAGAGACUGUUAAAGCCACCUGGUCCCAGCAGACCCCAGAAGGGGCCACAUUUGCUGGCGCUGGGGCAAGGUCAUUAAGGGUGAAGCCUGGUGCCAGAUGUGU